AGAAAGUUUUAUUUUAGCUUAAAGGAUGGUUUAUUGAUGUACAUAUAUAUUAAUUUUAGUGUGAGUUAUUUUUAAAUAGAAUAAUUGUAUUUUGUAGUAUGUAGUUUUAAGUAUUAAUAUUUAUUAGACUUAGAUAUUCAAUUUAAUAUAAACAAAAUUUGUGCCAGCAGUAGCGGUUAUACAAAUUAUAUUAAUCAUUUUUUUUGAGUUUAAUUAGGAGUAUAAAGAAAAAUUUAAAUUUGGAUUUUUUAGGUGAAAUUUUAAAUUUGAUUUAAAUUUUAUUUUUGUUUCUGAGGUUAGGAAAUUUUAUAUUAGACUAGGAUUAGAUACCCUAUUAUUUUAAAUGUUAAUAUUAAAACUUAAAUUAUUAUAAGUUAAGAUCUUUAAAAUUAAAGAAUUUGGCGGUAUUUUAGUCUGUUCAGAGGAACCUGUUUUUUAAUUGAUAAUCCACGAUAAUUUUUACUUUAAUUUUAAAUUUAUAUAUCGUCGUUUAUAAAAAUUUUAGGAGAAUAAUAAUUUUUAAGAUUUAAAAUUACAAAGUAGUUCAGAUCAAGGUGUAGUUUAUAUUAAAGAUAAAAUGGGUUACAUUAUAUUUAUAUGUGGUUUAUGAUUUUAAAAUUUAGAUUAAAAUGGAUUUGAUAGUAAAAUUUUUAUUUUUGUGGUUUGAUUUAGCUCUAAAAUAUGCACAUAUCGCCCGUCGCUUUCACUUUAAGGUGGAAUAAGUCGUAACAAAGUAGGCUUAUUGGAAAAUGAGCCUGGAAUGAU
Molecule: non-coding RNA, 765 nt
Filed under: Nalassus laevioctostriatus
Lineage: Eukaryota; Metazoa; Arthropoda; Insecta; Coleoptera; Tenebrionidae
Source: RNAcentral